UACGUAGGGUGCGAGUGUUACUCGGAAUUACUGGGCGUAAAGCGUGCGCAGGCGGCUUUGCAAGACAGAUGUGAAAUCCCCGGGCUUAACCUGGGAACUGCAUUUGUGACUGCAUGGCUGGAGUGCGGCAGAGGGGGAUGGAAUUCCGCGUGUAGCAGUGAAAUGCGUAGAUAUGCGGAGGAACACCGAUGGCGAAGGCAAUCCCCUGGGCCUGCACUGACGCUCAUGCACGAAAGCGUGGGGAGCAAACAGG
RNAcentral lists this ribosomal RNA (253 nucleotides) under uncultured bacterium. Its description in RNAcentral is "partial 16S ribosomal RNA". It matches the Rfam family "Bacterial small subunit ribosomal RNA", at positions 524 to 776 of the family's 1533-position model. The record is from RNAcentral.